This 497-nucleotide ribosomal RNA is filed under the name uncultured bacterium. RNAcentral describes it as "partial 16S ribosomal RNA". It matches the Rfam family "Bacterial small subunit ribosomal RNA", at positions 28 to 507 of the family's 1533-position model. The record is from RNAcentral.
GAUGAACGCUGGCGGCGUGCCUAAUACAUGCAAGUCGAGCGAACGGACGAGAAGCUUGCUUUUUUGAUGUUAGCGGCGGACGGGUGAGUAACAUGUGGAUAACCCACCUAUAAGUCUGGGAUAACUUCGGGAAACCGGCGCUAAUACCGGAUAAUAUUUUGAACCGCAUGGUUCAAUAGUGAAAGACGGUCUUGCUGUCACUUAUAGAUGGAUCCGCGCUGCAUUAGCUAGUUGGUAAGGUAACGGCUUACCAAGGCAACGAUGCAUAGCCGACGUCAGAGGGGGAUAGGCGGCACUGGAACUGAGGCACGGUCCAGAGUACUACGAGAGGCAGCAGACGGAAAUGGUCCGCAAUGGGGGAGAGCCUUGCGGAGCAACGGCAAGUGAGUGAUAAAGACGUACGGAUCGUGAAACUGUGUUACGAGGGAAAAACCUAUUUGGACGUAGCUGUGCAGAUCUUGACGGUACCUGAUCAGGAAGCCACGGCUAACUACGUG